AAUCUUAUAUUAUUGUUAAAAGAUUAGAAUAAUAAUAUAAAUAUAGUUAGAAGAAUAAAAUAUUGAUAUACGAAUUUGGACCAAAUUUCAGGCCAAACUGUUAGAAUGGAAAGAUGAUUCGGUGUAAAUUUAGGCCAAAAUUUAGGUAAAAACUGAUUACAUGGUUGGAGAUGGCCUUAGGACAACUAGUCCAGGUUUGGGGUGUGUUAUCUAGCGUGAUCCAAACUUCAAUCCAAAUUUAUUCCCGAGUGUCACGAUAUGCCCGCAUCUUUUCAAAAUUUAUGGCAAUUCGUGAAAAUAAAAGGUCUAACAAUGUCUCACAAAAAUUUUAAAUUGUUCAGACAUCUUUCAUUCUAUUUUUAGGAUUGUCCUACUCAAAUCUCAUUUUAGUUUUAAUAUUAAAACAUUAUUUUUCCUUCUCUUUCUACACAUCUUUUCCCUGUAUUUACAUUUUUAUUUAAUCACACUUACAAUUUAAAUAUAAUAAUAUUUAAAUAAUACAUUGGAGUGAAUAUAUAAAAAUAAUCCCAAACUAUUGUGAAAGUUAUAUUUUAUUAUAUCUUUAAGAUAAUUAAUAAAAUAAUCUUGGACUUGCUUUAACGGUGUUCCUUCAUAGUUUAAUAAAAGAUUUUUGGACAAUUAUGGAUAACGCACUUCAAUCUUGGCCUAUCAACAUCUUAAUCAUUGUCUAAGAACUGCACUUUGGAAUAUUUUGUUCGGGGGCAUGUGAGUUGAGUGAUUUGUAUAUCAUAUAGCCCAAGUUACUUCGUGAUUAUAUUUAAUUCGUUCGUAUCAAUUACUUGAACACGUGACUUGACUC
RNAcentral lists this long non-coding RNA (820 nucleotides) under Daucus carota (carrot). RNAcentral describes it as "long non-coding RNA (DCAR_LNC004396)". The record is from RNAcentral. Lineage: Eukaryota; Viridiplantae; Streptophyta; Magnoliopsida; Apiales; Apiaceae.